Molecule: ribosomal RNA, 540 nt
Filed under: Bifidobacterium longum subsp. infantis
Lineage: Bacteria; Bacillati; Actinomycetota; Actinomycetes; Bifidobacteriales; Bifidobacteriaceae
Also listed under: 1 other name
Description: bacterial SSU rRNA
Rfam family: Bacterial small subunit ribosomal RNA
Source: RNAcentral
CGGGUGGUAAUGCCGGAUGCUCCAGUUGAUCGCAUGGUCUUCUGGGAAAGCUUUCGCGGUAUGGGAUGGGGUCGCGUCCUAUCAGCUUGACGGCGGGGUAACGGCCCACCGUGGCUUCGACGGGUAGCCGGCCUGAGAGGGCGACCGGCCACAUUGGGACUGAGAUACGGCCCAGACUCCUACGGGAGGCAGCAGUGGGGAAUAUUGCACAAUGGGCGCAAGCCUGAUGCAGCGACGCCGCGUGAGGGAUGGAGGCCUUCGGGUUGUAAACCUCUUUUAUCGGGGAGCAAGCGAGAGUGAGUUUACCCGUUGAAUAAGCACCGGCUAACUACGUGCCAGCAGCCGCGGUAAUACGUAGGGUGCAAGCGUUAUCCGGAAUUAUUGGGCGUAAAGGGCUCGUAGGCGGUUCGUCGCGUCCGGUGUGAAAGUCCAUCGCUUAACGGUGGAUCCGCGCCGGGUACGGGCGGGCUUGAGUGCGGUAGGGGAGACUGGAAUUCCCGGUGUAACGGUGGAAUGUGUAGAUAUCGGGAAAGAACACCA